UACGAAGGGAGCUAGCGUUGUUCGGAAUCACUGGGCGUAAAGCGCACGUAGGCGGAUUUGUCAGUCAGGGGUGAAAUCCCGGGGCUCAACCUCGGAACUGCCUUUGAUACAGCAAGUCUUGAGUUCGAGAGAGGUGGGUGGAAUUCCUAGUGUAGAGGUGAAAUUCGUAGAUAUCGGGAGGAACACCAGUGGCGAAGGCGGCGAUCUGGGUCGAUACUGACGCUGAGGUGCGAAAGCGUGGGGAGCAAACAGG
RNAcentral lists this ribosomal RNA (253 nucleotides) under uncultured bacterium. Its description in RNAcentral is "partial 16S ribosomal RNA". It matches the Rfam family "Bacterial small subunit ribosomal RNA", at positions 524 to 776 of the family's 1533-position model. The record is from RNAcentral.